GUGUCAGCAGCCGCGGUAAUACGUAGGUGACAAGCGUUAUCCAGAAUUACUGGGCGUAAAGCGCACGCAAGCGGUAUGACAAGUCUGGCGUGAAAUCCUCUGGCUUAACCAGGGGCGGUCGCUGGAAACUGUUGAACUUGAGGCGAUGAGAGGGGUGCAGAAUUCCCGGUGUAGUGGUGGAAUGCGUAGAUAUCGGGAGGAAUACCAGUGGCGAAAGCGGCACCCUGGCGUCGUACUGACGCACAUGUGCGAAAGCGUGGGGAGCGAACGGGAUUAGAAACCCUAGUAGUCC
This 292-nucleotide ribosomal RNA is filed under the name uncultured bacterium. Its description in RNAcentral is "partial 16S ribosomal RNA". It matches the Rfam family "Bacterial small subunit ribosomal RNA", at positions 505 to 796 of the family's 1533-position model. The record is from RNAcentral.